RNAcentral lists this transfer RNA (65 nucleotides) under Coptosoma variegatum. Its description in RNAcentral is "tRNA-Ile". Lineage: Eukaryota; Metazoa; Arthropoda; Insecta; Hemiptera; Plataspidae. The record is from RNAcentral.
GAUAAGAUGCCUGAAUAAAAGGGCUAUUUUGAUAGAAUAGAUCAUGUAAAAAUUUACUCUUAUUA